AAGCAUAUCAAUAAGCGGAGGAAAAGAAACCAACAGGGAUUGCCCUAGUAACGGCGAGUGAAGCGGCAACAGCUCAAAUUUGAAAUCUGGCCUCGGCCCGAGUUGUAAUUUGCAGAGGAAGCUUUAGGCGCGGCACCUUCUGAGUCCCCUGGAACGGGGCGCCAUAGAGGGUGAGAGCCCCGUAUAGUUGGAUGCCUAGCCUGUGUAAAGCUCCUUCGACGAGUCGAGUAGUUUGGGAAUGCUGCUCAAAAUGGGAGGUAAAUUUCUUCUAAAGCUAAAUACCGGCCAGAGACCGAUAGCGCACAAGUAGAGUGAUCGAAAGAUGAAAAGCACUUUGAAAAGAGGGUUAAAUAGCACGUGAAAUUGUUGAAAGGGAAGCGCUUGUGACCAGACUUGCGCCGGGCUGAUCAUCCGGUGUUCUCACCGGUGCACUCGGCCCGGCUCAGGCCAGCAUCGGUUCUCGCGGGGGGAUAAAGGCCCUGGGAACGUAGCUCCUCCGGGAGUGUUAUAGCCCAGGGCGUAAUGCCCUCGCGGGGACCGAGGUUCGCGCAUCUGCAAGGAUGCUGGCGUAAUGGUCAUCAGCGACCCGUCUUGAAACACGGACCAAGGAGUCAAGGUUUUGCGCGAGUGUUUGGGUGUAAAACCCGCACGCGUAAUGAAAGUGAACGUAGGUGAGAGCUUCGGCGCAUCAUCGACCGAUCCUGAUGUUUUCGGAUGGAUUUGAGUAGGAGCGUUAAGCCUUGGACCCGAAAGAUGGUGAACUAUGCUUGGAUAGGGUGAAGCCAGAGGAAACUCUGGUGGAGGCUCGCAGCGGUUCUGACGUGCAAAUCGAUCGUCAAAUCUGAGCAUGGGGGCGAAAGACUAAUCGAACCAUCUAGUAGCUGGUUACCGCCGAA
This 896-nucleotide ribosomal RNA is filed under the name Chaetomium arcuatum. RNAcentral's name for it is "LSU rRNA". It matches the Rfam family "Eukaryotic large subunit ribosomal RNA", at positions 36 to 965 of the family's 3401-position model. The record is from RNAcentral. Lineage: Eukaryota; Fungi; Ascomycota; Sordariomycetes; Sordariales; Chaetomiaceae.